CAGCCGCCGCGGGAAAACGUAGGUGGCAAGCGUUGUCCGGAAUUAUUGGGCGUAAAGGGCUCGCAGGCGGUUUCUUAAGUCUGAUGUGAAAGCCCCCGGCUCAACCGGGGAGGGUCAUUGGAAACUGGGAAACUUGAGUGCAGAAGAGGAGAGUGGAAUUCCACGUGUAGCGGUGAAACGCGUAGAGAUGUGGAGGAACACCAGUGGCGAAGGCGACUCUCUGGUCUGUAACUGACGCUGAGGAGCGAAAGCGUGGGGAGCGAACAGGAUUAGAUCCCCCGUAGUCCCUGUCUCUUAUACA
This 301-nucleotide ribosomal RNA is filed under the name uncultured bacterium. RNAcentral's name for it is "partial 16S ribosomal RNA". It matches the Rfam family "Bacterial small subunit ribosomal RNA", at positions 509 to 808 of the family's 1533-position model. The record is from RNAcentral.